GACACGUUCAUUUUUACACAAGAUUUUUAAUAGUUUAACACUAUGUGAAGCACAAAAGUAUAUACAUAAAGUCAAAACAUGAUUAUUACCAGUUUAAUAAUAUUUUUUUUAUCUAUAUAAAAUAAAAAUAAUUGUAAAUGAUACAAAGUAAAGAAAUUACAUUAAAAAAUUUGAAUUUAGACGUCAAACUGAUAUUCACUGACAUCAAAUUAUUUUACCAUAAGAAAUGUCGAAAGGAAAAGGCAAUUGGAGUUUUCGUGAUGUAUCGCUAGGACUACAAAAACUCAGAGAAUUUUUAUUAGGACGGAAACACACAUUACACGGUCGAUUUCCAACAAUGAUUUCUCCAAGAACAAUUCCGACUCCAGAUAUCCCUCGUGGUCCUGAUGAACAUUACUCUAAUAAAUAUUAUUUUACUCGACACGCAAGAGAUUCAGUGCUGCCUCCCGUUAUAGCGCCGGUGGCCGAAGGGCCACCUAUGUGUCGCGAUCCGUUUAAAAAAGCGAAACCAGGUGGCGUACCACCGGACUCGGUUUGUUUCAACUGCGCACCUACUCCUGGACCUACUUGGUGGUGGGACGGACAUUUUUAUUAUGAAACUCAACCUGAUUGCUCUCCCCCUGAGGCGAAAGCUAAGGCCUCGCCACCUUGCUCAUCGCGAUGUGACCCAAAUCCUACGGAGAAGAAAUGCUAAUUGCUAACAGUCAUUAUUGUUCUCUAAUGGAACUAGCUAAUUUUAUGUUCGCUGUUUGAACCUUUCAGUUUCUAAUUGCGAUCUUUAUUUAAAGAGGUAAUACCUAUCUACCAAUUAAUUGACAAAAACAAGUAUUAAAAUUUAACUAUUUUUCGGAUUUUA
Long non-coding RNA from Manduca sexta (tobacco hornworm), 856 nucleotides. RefSeq lists it as uncharacterized. Lineage: Eukaryota; Metazoa; Arthropoda; Insecta; Lepidoptera; Sphingidae. The transcript has 2 exons. The record is from RefSeq and is a predicted model, not a curated record.